AUGUGAUCUGCGAGGUCCUGCAAACAUACACUUACUUGCUAAACCAGAGUCAUUAAGGAUCCAGCUUAUUGGCAGUUUGGUAAAGAAUUGCUUAUCUGCUGUUUAUCUGCGGUUAUUGAACUGUAAAGUGUCAGUACAGAUAGCACACAAGUGGAAGAGAGAGGGGAUGGCAACAGAAAGGACCUAGAGCUGGAACACUUUUAUGGCGUUAUUUUUUAGUCAAAAGUUAUG
This is a long non-coding RNA of Labeo rohita (rohu), 231 nucleotides long. RefSeq lists it as uncharacterized. NCBI's taxonomy places the organism in Eukaryota, Metazoa, Chordata, Actinopteri, Cypriniformes, Cyprinidae. The transcript has 3 exons. The record is from RefSeq and is a predicted model, not a curated record.